Molecule: ribosomal RNA, 253 nt
Filed under: uncultured bacterium
Lineage: Bacteria
Description: partial 16S ribosomal RNA
Rfam family: Bacterial small subunit ribosomal RNA
Source: RNAcentral
GACGGAGGAUGCAAGCGUUAUCCGGAAUGAUUGGGCGUAAAGCGUCCGCAGGUGGCAGUUCAAGUCUACUGUCAAAGACCGGGGCUUAACUUCGGAAAGGCAGUGGAAACUGAACAGCUAGAGUAUGGUAGGGGCAGAGGGAAUUCCUGGUGUAGCGGUGAAAUGCGUAGAGAUCAGGAAGAACAUCGGUGGCGAAGGCGCUCUGCUGGACCAUAACUGACACUCAGGGACGAAAGCUAGGGGAGCGAAUGGG